UACGAAGGGGGCUAGCGUUGCUCGGAAUCACUGGGCGUAAAGCGCACGUAGGCGGAUUGCUAAGUCAGGGGUGAAAUCCUGGAGCUCAACUCCAGAACUGCCUUUGAUACUGGCGAUCUCGAGUCCGGGAGAGGUGAGUGGAACUGCGAGUGUAGAGGUGAAAUUCGUAGAUAUUCGCAAGAACACCAGUGGCGAAGGCGGCUCACUGGCCCGGUACUGACGCUGAGGUGCGAAGGCGUGGGGAGCAAACAGG
RNAcentral lists this ribosomal RNA (253 nucleotides) under uncultured bacterium. Its description in RNAcentral is "partial 16S ribosomal RNA". It matches the Rfam family "Bacterial small subunit ribosomal RNA", at positions 524 to 776 of the family's 1533-position model. The record is from RNAcentral.